Molecule: ribosomal RNA, 327 nt
Filed under: uncultured eukaryote
Lineage: Eukaryota
Description: partial 18S ribosomal RNA
Rfam family: Eukaryotic small subunit ribosomal RNA
Source: RNAcentral
CCCUUAGAUGUUCUGGGCCGCACACGCGCUACACUGAAGGAGGCAGCGUGUACUCCUGGAUCGAAAGAUUUGGGUAACCCGCGAAUCUCCUUCUUGCUAGGGAUUGAGGUUUGCAAUUAUCCUUCAUGAACGAGGAAUUCCCAGUAAGUGCAAGUCAUAAGCUUGCGCUGACUACGUCCCUGCCCUUUGUACACACCGCCCGUCGCUACUACCGAUUGAAUGAUUUAGUGAGGACUUCGGACUGGGACCGAUGCGGCUUUCGGGCUGCGUCGGUAUUCUGGAAAGAUGUCCAAACUGUAUCAUUUAGAGGAAGUAAAAGUCGUAACA